Molecule: ribosomal RNA, 429 nt
Filed under: Actinomycetes bacterium
Lineage: Bacteria; Bacillati; Actinomycetota; Actinomycetes
Description: Actinobacteria bacterium partial 16S ribosomal RNA
Rfam family: Bacterial small subunit ribosomal RNA
Source: RNAcentral
UAGGGAAUCUUCCGCAAUGGGCGAAAGCCUGACGGAGCAACGCCGCGUGAGUGAUGAAGGUCUUCGGAUCGUAAAACUCUGUUAUUAGGGAAGAACAAAUGUGUAAGUAACUAUGCACGUCUUGACGGUACCUCAUCAGAAAGCCACGGCUAACUACGUGCCAGCAGCCGCGGUAAUACGUAGGUGGCAAGCGUUAUCCGGAAUUAUUGGGCGUAAAGCGCGCGUAGGCGGUUUUUUAAGUCUGAUGUGAAAGCCCACGGCUCAACCGUGGAGGGUCAUUGGAAACUGGAAAACUUGAGUGCAGAAGAGGAAAGUGGAAUUCCAUGUGUAGCGGUGAAAUGCGCAGAGAUAUGGAGGAACACCAGUGGCGAAGGCGACUUUCUGGUCUGUAACUGACGCUGAGGUGCGAAAGCGUGGGGAUCAAACAGG